GAUUUCGAUAACGUUUUUUUGGCAUCCGUUUCAAGCUAUGCGACUUCUCGAACAUAAUUAUGUAUGUGGUUGAGACUCAAUUUGUGGGUGUGUGCUGCUGCUGGGUUUAUGUUUUGUUUCUUCUAGAUAAGGAGUGCUCCCCCAAGGGAUUUUGGCUUCAGCAUUGGCAUCGUAGAAGGUUUUCGUUCCAGUAUCAAAUUUUUCCCUUCUCAAGUUUCAAUCAAACUCAAUGGGAGUUGAAGCCUAAUAAGAGCUUUUCAGUGUUUCCGUCACUCCUUCGAGAUUUCAGUAUCUUUCUUUUUCUACAUCACACUUGCUCCUUUGUCUCGGCGGCUGUCUUAAGUAACAAAGAUUCUGGAGCUUAUAAUGUCAAGGCACUUGAGCAAGAGAUUAAAGCAAAAUCUAGCGCCUGAAAACAGAUGCUGCAAGAAUAUUGGAUGAUGCAUUAGAAGACAAAUGUGGUGCCCUUGAAAGCAAGGUGGUGAUUGGCGCAAGAAAGAAGCUGAAUGAAAGAAGAGAGAAUCUGCAUUGCAUCUUGAAGUUAAGAACCUCACAGAGGUAUCCUUUAUAUUUUCUGUGAAGGAUGCCUGACAUUUGAUUGUAGAAAAUCUAUAGUUUUCCAAAAUUAGAACUAGAUUCAACUCUGGUGAUCUACUCCCUUCUUCGUUUCAAUGAUGAAUAUGAUGAUGUCCUAGCUGCAUCCUACCUUUCGGUGAGUAACUCUACUAAUGUUCUAUCUGUUUCCUUUAUUCGUGGUUGCCUUCGGCAUUAUCUAUUGUCCUCUCCUUUCUGUUUUUUUUUUGUAUUGUUUCCUAUUCCCACAUAGUUGAUUUUUUUUCAAAUUUGUUGAUGAAUGGGUUUUGGAUUCUCUGAAUCAGGGUGGUUUGAGGGUCCAAGAUUUAAUCUUCAAUUGUUUCAUCAACAUUGUGAAAUUGUUUUAUCCUUUGACAUCAAUUCUUUUUAUUCCCUGUUGAACCUUGCCUUCUGUUUGUCUUCUCACUGGAGUAGAUGGGUAGGAUCAGCGGAGGAGUGUAACGGAACCUUCUCAUAAUGGAAGAUGAUGCAGCAAAAGAGAGAACUGUAGAAAGUAUAGUUUGACCUGCAAGUUUGAUGUUUGGUUUGAUUUAAGUUGUCACUUUGAAGUUAGAUCUGACUCUGAGUGAUCUGAAAAUACCAUUCAGAAUAGAACUGUUAGACAUACAAAGUGGUUCCCCCCACCUUAUCACCAAGAUCUCAUUAUCAUCAGGAGCUUCAUUCUGCCUUGGUACCAAGAGAAUCAAGACAUCUUUCUUAGAGCACAAUAGUAUUUUGUAGUUCAAACACUGUAUUAUCACUAGCAUUAUGUGAAAUUUCCGUAGUACUAUAAUGUCAUUAAGAUAACAUGAUUCUUUACCAACUAAUUUCUUAGUAGAAUAAUUAUGACUCAUGAGCCAUUCCUUCAUUCCUUCAUCUGUUUCUUCUCUUCUAUGGCCUGAGAAAUAAUCAAGGGAUUGCUUGGAAAAGAACGGCAAAUUGAUUUGAUUCUUAUUUUGCUGCUAUACUUCAUUAGACUCACCCCAUAAACUCAACAACAACUCACGUAGGAACCAUGCAAAACUUAUAGAAAGGUAAGUGUAUGCAAUAUGCUUAUUGAAUCUGAUAACUUUCUAAAGCAUGACUUAGGACUUACCUUUGGCAGAUUUUUCUUUUAUUUUUCUUCCAAUUUGUUUCUUCCCACUUAUUUCUUUUCCAUGUUUGUGAUUGAAGAAAAGGGCAAUUUGAGGCUUUUGUGCAUGCAUGGAAGUGCCAGAUUUAUUUAAUUGGUUGUUUUUAUGAAGAAAUUAAAGGUCAUCGAAAGAGUGCAGAGGAACAGCCAUACACGGGUUGUGCUUCUCUCAAGUCUUUUCCUUUAAUUUUCUUUGGAUAUGCUUAUCUCAUUGGGUUAAUUUUCAUUAGUGAUCUAUCAAAUUGGUUCGUACUUUUUGUUUGUUCUCACUUCAGGAGUUCUUUAUUUUCCAACCUUCUUGCUUGGACAUGUAUAUUGGAUCUGCAAAUAAUUUUUGAAAAUAUCUUACACAGGUAAUUUCAUGACAUGUUUUAUGUUUACAGUUUAAUGCCAACAGGCAUCUAAUCUUUUUUGGUUGUUACAUUUUCCAACAUUAUAAUUAAUUUAUUUUUCUUUUUGUUUGUUUGAUGGUAUUUAAAAUUUAUGGCUGGGAGUUAUAAGCGAGGAAUCGGUAGCAGGAACAAUUGUUAAAAGAGCAUACCCGCAUAGCAUCACUGAUGACUAAAAAGCAGGUCUUGGAAGAGAAACAUUGCAUCCGGAUGAUCAUGUGAGAAAACUAUUGAGGAUCUUAUUGGGAGUGGAAAACUGAUUCCAUGCCAUGCCUUUUUUUAUAUUUUUACAUUUAAGGAUCUAUCUAUAAUAUAUAAAGGAGAAGUUUUUCAGUCUGGAGGCAACUUCGUUAUUCAAUAAUUUAUUGAACACUAUUCUCAAAUUAAGUAUGGAUAUUUGUGUAAAGUGUUGUUUAUUUCUCUUAGGUUCAAUCACGGUUGUUCAUUUCAUCUUCAUUGUAAAAGUAAUCACGGUUUAUUCC
This is a long non-coding RNA of Lotus japonicus, 2576 nucleotides long. RefSeq lists it as uncharacterized. The transcript has 4 exons. Lineage: Eukaryota; Viridiplantae; Streptophyta; Magnoliopsida; Fabales; Fabaceae. The record is from RefSeq and is a predicted model, not a curated record.